UACGGGGGGUGCAAGCGUUGUCCGGAUUCAUUGGGUUUAAAGGGUGCGCAGGCGGCUCUGACAGUCGGCGUUGAAAGGUCCGGGCUCAACCCGCGACAGUGGCGCCGAUACUACAGAGCUUGAGUGAGGUAGAGGCAGGCGGAAUUGGUGGUGUAGCGGUGAAAUGCAUAGAUACCACCAGGAACACCGAUAGCGAAGGCAGCUUGCCAUGCCUUAACUGACGCUCAUGCACGAAAGCGUGGGGAUCAAACAGG
This 254-nucleotide ribosomal RNA is filed under the name uncultured bacterium. RNAcentral's name for it is "partial 16S ribosomal RNA". It matches the Rfam family "Bacterial small subunit ribosomal RNA", at positions 524 to 776 of the family's 1533-position model. The record is from RNAcentral.